GACGAACGCUGGCGGCGUGCUUAACACAUGCAAGUCGAACGGAAAUAUAUAAGUAGUUUACUAUGAAUAUAUUUUAGUGGCGGACGGGUGAGUAACACGUGGGCAACCUGCCCUAUGCACAGGGAUAACGCACCGAAAGGUGUGCUAAUACCGGAUAAAGCGAGAUGUCCGCAUGGACGACUCGCCAAAGCUUUUGCGGCAUAGGAUGGGGCCG
Molecule: ribosomal RNA, 214 nt
Filed under: uncultured bacterium
Lineage: Bacteria
Description: partial 16S ribosomal RNA
Rfam family: Bacterial small subunit ribosomal RNA
Source: RNAcentral